This 199-nucleotide long non-coding RNA is filed under the name Brassica napus (rape). RNAcentral's name for it is "long non-coding RNA (BNAP_LNC020028)". Lineage: Eukaryota; Viridiplantae; Streptophyta; Magnoliopsida; Brassicales; Brassicaceae. The record is from RNAcentral.
AGUCGCCGGAAUCACCGUGAAACCAGAGUCUCCAUCAAAAAUAUCGACAGAUCCUAUUUCAAUUUCGUUCUAGAUUUGUACCCUUGAGGGUCUGAGAAAUUAAGAUGCUUUUUCAAUGGGGAGCUAUGGUUCUUGUGGAGAAGAGAGAUUCCACCAUUGCAGUAUAGAUGAGAUGUGUGAGGAUCUGGGAAAAUUAGAA